This is a non-coding RNA of Chrysemys picta bellii (western painted turtle), 516 nucleotides long. NCBI's taxonomy places the organism in Eukaryota, Metazoa, Chordata, Testudines, Emydidae. The record is from the annotation of a RefSeq genome assembly.
AUGAGACUGUGGCUGAGCCGCGCUUUCUUUCUAGGGGCCCUUCGAGGUAUCUGGUCACAGGUCUGGUUGGUGGAGUCCAGAGGGGGGAUUCAAACCCCUGGGGAAACUCUCCGCCUCUCCUGCAAAGCCUCCGGAUUCACCUUCAGCUACCACAUGAACUGGGUCCGUCAGGCGCCGGGGAAAGGACUGGAGUGGGUCGCACAGAUACUCAAUCCUACUUAUAGUUCAGCAACAUAUUACAGUGAUGCGGUUAAAGAGCGAUUCACUAUAUCCAGAGAUGAGUCCCGCAGCUCGGUGUAUCUGCAAAUGAACAGCCUGAAAGCCGAAGACACCACCCGGUAUUACUGUGCGAGAGACACAGCGAUCAGAAACCUCCUGCGGAUGUCCGGGGACUUGGCCGCCAGCACCGACUUGUGGGCUCAGAUCCGCCGGCCGGACACUUCGAUCACCAGGUCCGGCUCCUCCGAGACCAGCUGCUGCGGGCUCCAGGGCUGCGCUCCAGCCUGUGGACAGUAA